Molecule: ribosomal RNA, 482 nt
Filed under: uncultured bacterium
Lineage: Bacteria
Description: partial 16S ribosomal RNA
Rfam family: Bacterial small subunit ribosomal RNA
Source: RNAcentral
AGUGAACGUUGGCGGCGUGGAUUAGGCAUGCAAGUCGAGCGAGAACCGUAGCAAUACGGGGACAGCGGCGAAAGGGACAGUAAUGUGUAGGUACCUACCCCGAGGACUGGGAUAGCUGCGGGAAACUGCAGGUAAUACCGGAUAAUGUCAUCGGACCAAAGGUGUGAUUACACAUUGGCAUGCGCCUGCUUCCUAUUAGCUUGUUGGGGGGGUAACGGCCCACCAAGGCGACGAUGGGUAGCGGGUGUGAGAGAACGACCCGUGUUUUUGGGACUGAGACACUGCCCAGACACCUACGGGUGGCUGCAGUCGAGGAUCUUCGGCAAUGGGCGCAAGCCUGACAGAGCGACGCCGCGUGCGGGAUGAAGGCCUUCGGGUUGUAAACCGCUGUCGUAGGGGAGGAAAUGCAGGUGGGUUCUCCCUCCUGUUUGACCUAUCCUAGGAGGAAGUACGGGCUAAGUUCGUGCCAGCCGCCGCCGUAA